This 319-nucleotide ribosomal RNA is filed under the name uncultured eukaryote. Its description in RNAcentral is "partial 18S ribosomal RNA". It matches the Rfam family "Eukaryotic small subunit ribosomal RNA", at positions 1470 to 1795 of the family's 1831-position model. The record is from RNAcentral.
CCCCUAGAUGUUCUGGGCCGCACGCGCGCUACACUGAACAGUUCAACAAGUCUUAACCUUGGCCGAUAGGUCUGGGUAAUCUUUGAACGCUGUUCGUGACUGGGAUAGACCUUUGCAAUUAUGGGUCUUCAACGAGGAAUUCCUAGUAAACGCAAGUCAUCAGCUUGCAUUGAUUACGUCCCUGCCCUUUGUACACACCGCCCGUCGCACCUACCGAUUGAAUGGUCCGGUGAAAUCUCGGGACGGCGGCUUGGUCGCUUGCGUCCGACUGCUGAAACUUGAUUAAACCAUAUCAUUUAGAGGAAGGUGAAGUCGUAAC